Long non-coding RNA from Fundulus heteroclitus (mummichog), 754 nucleotides. RefSeq lists it as uncharacterized. Lineage: Eukaryota; Metazoa; Chordata; Actinopteri; Cyprinodontiformes; Fundulidae. The record is from RefSeq and is a predicted model, not a curated record. The transcript is spliced from 2 exons.
UUAUUUACUAAUUAGUUCAUGUCCGAAGGGAACUGUUUACAUUGGGUUUUGUUUAGGGUCUCAGAGUAAAGGGGAAUGCAUGUUACUCAGAAUUUUAUUUGUCAAAAAUAAAAAAAAGUCUGUGCACUUUUUGUGUUGGUCUGUCACAUAAAAUCCCAAUAAAAUACAGAAACGUUUCUGGUUGUAACACGAAAAAAUGUUUAAAAGUUCAAGGCACUGUCUGUUUAAAGUAAAUCAAGCUGGACUGUAGAAGGACACAUCAGUGCUGCAGGCAGGGGGCUUUGGUAGUGCUCAUUUUAUGUUUUCCUAUUUACAGAAAGUCUGAUUAGGGCAAAUAUCACAAAUGUCUUAAAAAAAAAAGCUGCUCUUAACCGUGCUGAGUCUGUAUUUGACCUGAAUUUAUGGUGACCCCUGCUUCUUCAUUUUUUACAGGUUCACCAACACCAACAUCAUUCACAAAAUUCCAGAGUGGACCCUCAUAGCUGUGGUGCUUCUGCAUCUGUUGUCAGAUGUGUCUCCGGUGGUGCAGGGAGCCUUGGAGACGUCGGCAUCAGUGCAGUAUUUAAACACUCUGAUGGAGGAGCUUGGCCUGCAGGAACAGGACCUUCUCAACCUAGUUCAGCUGUUUAAAUCGCCAACAAGCUGACAGAACAAUAAACAGACGUAUAAUGUGUUCAAUCUCAUAAUAUGAUCAAUUCAGGAAAAAUUAUGUUUUGUGUGGUUUUGUCUUUAUUAAAACAAAAAAAUGGAGACU